GCAACCCUUAUCCCUAGUUGCCAUCAGGUAAAGCUGGGAACUCUGGGGAGACUGCCGGUGAUAAACCGGAGGAAGGCGGGGAUGACGUCAAGUCCUCAUGGCCCUUACAUCCCGGGCUACACACGUGCUACAAUGGCCUGUACAAAGGGCAGCAAAGGGCGACCCGGAGCAAAUCCCAAAAAACAGGUCUACAGUUCGGAUUGCAGGCUGCAACUCGCCUGCAUGAAGGCGGAAUCGCUAGUAAUCGCAGGUCAGCAUACUGCGGUGAAUACGUUCCCGGGCCUU
Molecule: ribosomal RNA, 285 nt
Filed under: uncultured Latescibacterota bacterium
Lineage: Bacteria; Pseudomonadati; Candidatus Latescibacterota
Description: uncultured Latescibacteria bacterium partial 16S ribosomal RNA
Rfam family: Bacterial small subunit ribosomal RNA
Source: RNAcentral